CGAGUUUAAUAAAAAUUAAAUUCACCAUAUUUUUAGGGUUUAAAAAAAAAUGUUUUUGAAAUUGAAAGAAACUUGGCUUCACUCAUUCCCCUCUCUCACCCUUCUCCCAAUUUCUCGGUACCUUCUCAAAAUCCCGUCGUUCCCAACUCUGAUUUUGUUCCUUCCACUUAUAAUCGUUCCCAUCAUCUUUCCGUUGCCGCAAAAGAGGAUCUCAAUCCCAUUACCGAGUACCCUUCAAAUCAGAAAUCGCCCCUAGUUAAUCCCUCAAAGUUUGAUGUCAAGAACAAUACCAAGUUUCCGGAUAAUCCCUCUGUCACCGGAAAGGAUGAUGAAAGCGAUACUCAACAACCAUCUCGAGCACCCACAGUUCGGCCAGCAAAGAACAAACAAAAGAAGCGGCGGUUCGCGGUUGUACUUACGAGGGAAGAGAUUGAAGAUGAUAUCGCCGCAAUCGAAGCCUUGGCAGGCGGCAAGCGAUUACGAAGGCCCAAGAACCGAGACCCAUCUUGUAACAGAACCGAUCGAAGGCACCUUGAUCAUUUGUUUCCAGGGUUACGGAAUUGAAAACUGUCAUCAAAUUAUUUUAUUUGCUCACAAGCACUGGUUAGCUUUGUACUGCUGCAGGAAUUUCAUGUGCACUGACUGCAUGUUUAUCCAACAUGAGCCAUUUUCAUUCCUUAACUCAGUAGUGACUACUGCAGGGGGAUAUUUAGAUUUGCUUUCCAUCUUCUGUUAUUUAGUGUUGAAGGAUUGAUAGAAGAGCUAGAAAUAGGGGCUUACCUUAAUAUGCAAGACAAACCAUAAUUCAGUAUUGGUCUUGUAUGGCCAAGCCUGGGUUGUCCUUCCCUUAUCCAAUUUUUUUUUUUCUAUACUGAAGUUUUCCUUGCUGUAAGGGGGAUCUUGUCUGGCGAUGACAUUGGUUGUCACUUGGUGUAAAAGAACUAGGGUGACUAUGUUGGUGGAUUGCUGGAUUUGUAUUCGUUUUUGGUUGGUAUCAAAAUUGACAGGACUGGUAGGGUAUGGUGGUUGUCUAUGUGUGCUACUACUCUUUGGUAUCAAAAGUUGAACAAAAUCCUCAUUCCGGAAUCAGCAUAGCCGUGAGACAUUGUCGAAUGAGCAGAUUGAUAUUAUUGAGUUUAAUGAUGAUAACAAUGCAUAUCCUUAAUCGUCUAUCUUUACACUAGAAUGAAGUAAAUAAGAUGUAUAUUCACCUGCUUUCGAGCUUGACAUCUUGCUGCUGAUUCUCUGUUCUUUAUCAUUCUCCUUUGCUGCCUCUCGGCAACCUUCUCCACAGCAGUGCAUUUCCUACCCCUCGAACUUCCAUUGAACACAUAAGGAACUGGCGAGACUGAGGAAGUAUCCGCACUACUCUUCCCUAUCCCAUCUGAUGAGAAGUGGUUAGCAGGUGAUCCAGCUGCAAUGCUGACAGGCCCUCCUAAAUCAACCAUCCCCGUCUUUCCACCCUGAAUAAGACCAUUACUUAGUCCCUGGCCCCCCAUCUCAGUAAUUCCCCCUCUAUUUCCAGAACUCCCCAACCGACCACCACUUUGUAAAGGCAUCUGACAUCCAAAUCCUACAGCAGGUAAAGUGAUGCUGGUGGUUAUGUUGAGUUUGCUGCUGAACUAACUGGUGCUGGUUUGAUUUAACCCCAUUAACAUUCAAAGGCAAAUUGGAAGCCUGAAAACCUGUUUGAUUACUACCUUGAGAAAGGCUAUUCCGCACCCGGUGAUGGUAUGCUUAAAUUGCUGCUACAUAGCUGCCUUACAAGCCCUUGGAGGUACCUUCAUCAAGCUGCUGUUGAGUGCAUCAAAGUCAGGGGUAUGCUGAUAGGGUGAUGAUAUGCUUAAAUUGCUGCUUCAGAAUGGAUGCGCAAGGUUUCUUUUAACUAUUGAAUCUGAUUCUGCAAUUGCUUUGUUGUGGACUAUUGAUAAAUCUAAAAGACCCGAGAUGGUUUGGGAUAUUCAAUAAAUGUGAAGUUUGAAUCUUGCAUUUUAACCCUUUUUUCCUUAUUUUCAGAUUGUAGGUUAAAGACCUAAUUUGUACAAAGUUGUAAGAAUGGCCUUACAUUUUCUUAUUUCAAUUGUCUUAAAAUUUUAGUUUAGAACUUCUGGUUUUUGGUUUCAAUUUGUUUCAGCUUUUAAAAGAUUCAACAUAGUUUCAAGAAAUGUUUUUGUAGCUGGAACCAUAUUAUGUUGUUCUUUCAAUCAAUGGCUAAAACAAGAUGAUGUUUGGGGA
This is a long non-coding RNA of Gossypium arboreum, 2235 nucleotides long. RefSeq lists it as uncharacterized. Lineage: Eukaryota; Viridiplantae; Streptophyta; Magnoliopsida; Malvales; Malvaceae. The transcript is spliced from 2 exons. The record is from RefSeq and is a predicted model, not a curated record.